Molecule: ribosomal RNA, 466 nt
Filed under: uncultured bacterium
Lineage: Bacteria
Description: partial 16S ribosomal RNA
Rfam family: Bacterial small subunit ribosomal RNA
Source: RNAcentral
GAUGAACGCUGGCGGCGUGCUUAACACAUGCAAGUCGAACGGAAAGGCCCAAGCUUGCUUGGGUACUCGAGUGGCGAACGGGUGAGUAACACGUGGGUGAUCUGCCCUGCACUUCGGGAUAAGCCUGGAAACUGGGUCUAAUACCGGAUAGGACCACAUUUUGGAUGGUGUGGUGGAAAGUUUUUCGGUGUGGGAUGAGCUCGCGGCCUAUCAGCUUGUUGGUGGGGUAAUGGCCUACCAAGGCGUCGACGGGUAGCCGGCCUGAGAGGGUGUACGGCCACAUUGGGACUGAGAUACGGCCCAGACUCCUACGGGAGGCAGCAGUGGGGAAUAUUGCACAAUGGGCGCAAGCCUGAUGCAGCGACGCCGCGUGGGGGAUGACGGCCUUCGGGUUGUAAACUCCUUUCGCUAGGGACGAAGCGUUUUUGUGACGGUACCUGGAGAAGAAGCACCGGCUAACUACGUG